ACCUGGCUGGCUCAGCUGGUAGAGCAUGCGACUGUUGAUCUCAGGGUCUUGAGUUCAGGCCUCAUGUUGGGCA
Molecule: transfer RNA, 73 nt
Filed under: Ailuropoda melanoleuca (giant panda)
Lineage: Eukaryota; Metazoa; Chordata; Mammalia; Carnivora; Ursidae
Rfam family: tRNA
About the family: Transfer RNA (tRNA) molecules are approximately 80 nucleotides in length.
Source: Rfam by way of RNAcentral